RNAcentral lists this ribosomal RNA (346 nucleotides) under uncultured bacterium. RNAcentral describes it as "bacterial SSU rRNA". It matches the Rfam family "Bacterial small subunit ribosomal RNA", at positions 1136 to 1481 of the family's 1533-position model. The record is from RNAcentral.
CACUCUAGUGAGACUGCCGGUGACAAACCGGAGGAAGGUGGGGAUGACGUCAAGUCCUCAUGGCCCUUAUGGGUAGGGCUUCACACGUCAUACAAUGGUCGGUACAGAGGGUUGCCAAGCCGCGAGGUGGAGCCAAUCCCUUAAAGCCGAUCGUAGUCCGGAUCGUAGUCUGCAACUCGACUACGUGCAGUCGGAAUCGCUAGUAAUCGCAAAUCAGAAUGUUGCGGUGAAUACGUUCCCGGGCCUUGUACACACCGCCCGUCACACCAUGGGAGUGGGUUGCACCAGAAGUAGAUAGCUUAACCUUCGGGAGGGCGUUUACCACGGUGUGAUUCAUGACUGGGGU